RNAcentral lists this ribosomal RNA (287 nucleotides) under uncultured bacterium. Its description in RNAcentral is "partial 16S ribosomal RNA". It matches the Rfam family "Bacterial small subunit ribosomal RNA", at positions 773 to 1060 of the family's 1533-position model. The record is from RNAcentral.
GUGGAUUAGAUACCCUGGUAGUCCACGCCGUAAACGAUGGAUGCUAGCCGUUGGUAAGCAUGCUUAUCAGUGGCGCAGCUAACGCAUUAAGCAUCCCGCCUGGGGAGUACGGCCGCAAGGUUGAAACUCAAAGGAAUUGACGGGGGCCCGCACAAGCGGUGGAGCAUGUGGUUUAAUUCGACGCAACGCGCAGAACCUUACCAGGCCUUGACAUCCCGUGCUAAGCCCAGAGAUGGGUGGUCCCCGCAAGGGGCGCGGAGACAGGUGCUGCAUGGCCGUCGACAGCU